RNAcentral lists this unclassified non-coding RNA (329 nucleotides) under plant metagenome. RNAcentral's name for it is "partial contains 5.8S ribosomal RNA, internal transcribed spacer 2, and large subunit ribosomal RNA". The stretch from base 1 to 105 matches the Rfam family "5.8S ribosomal RNA", at positions 50 to 154 of the family's 154-position model. The record is from RNAcentral.
GAAAUGCGAUAAGUAAUGUGAAUUGCAGAAUUCCGUGAAUCAUCGAAUCUUUGAACGCACAUUGCGCCCUCUGGUAUUCCGGGGGGCAUGCCUGUCCGAGUGUCAUUGCGAACCCCUCAAGCACGGCUUGUGUGAUGGGCCCUCCCGCGUCUUGGUCGUCAAGACGGGCCCGAAAUGCAGUGGCGGCUUCGCGGUUAUCCGAUCAGCCAGAGCGUAUGGGGACUUUCUCUCUGUCACACGCCCGCGGCGCGGACCGACGCCUGUCGACCUUUAUUCAUCUUUUUCUCGGUUGACCUCGGAUCAGGUAGGGAUACCCGCUGAACUUAAGC